RNAcentral lists this ribosomal RNA (253 nucleotides) under uncultured bacterium. RNAcentral's name for it is "partial 16S ribosomal RNA". It matches the Rfam family "Bacterial small subunit ribosomal RNA", at positions 524 to 776 of the family's 1533-position model. The record is from RNAcentral.
UACGUAGGGUGCAAGCGUUGUCCGGAAUUAUUGGGCGUAAAGCGCGUGUAGGCGGUUUUGCAAGUCGGGUGUGAAAGCCCUCAGCUCAACUGAGGAAGUGCGCCCGAAACUGCAGAGCUUGAGUACCGGAGAGGAUGGUGGAAUUCCCCAAGUAGAGGUGAAAUUCGUAGAUAUGGGGAGGAACACCGGUGGCGAAGGCGACCAUCUGGACGGAUACUGACGCUGAGACGCGAAAGCGUGGGUAGCAAACAGG